AGCAGCUCAAAUGUGAAAAACAAGACCCAGAGAGGGGAAAUCAUUUGAAUCCUGUCCUGGUAUUGCUUUGUGUUCCUGGAUUUGGAGAAUUUCUGGGAACACAGGAAAAGGAAAGUGAAUGCCACCAGGAUCUGAACCCAAGAUUCCAGCCUUGGUCACCACCCUGACCCUGAGAAUGCCACUGGGAUGGGGAGAACUUGUCAGUCUUCAUCCUUCCCCACAAGUAUACUGAGGCCAGGACAGUCUUAGGCCCCUGCUGCCCUCCUGGCUCUCAGUGGAGAGAAAAGAGGAAAUAAAUUUGGACCCAGCCUUGAGAUCCUGGAAGAGCUCCUUUGGAUUUAGCCUUGGGAUCCUAGCAUCUCCUCACAAAAUUAUGAUCUUCCCUGGGCAUCUCUAAGCCACCAAUUGGGUUGCCUGCACCUGAGCAAAUACAGCAAGCACCUGCCUUAGAGAGCUCUUAGAGGGAUUAUCCGCAGCCUGAAGAAAGAAGGUUACAACUGAGGAAGAACUUCUGAACAGGGAAGAGUGGAAGAAAAGACUGCAGUAGGUAGAGCAUCAAGGGAAGCUGUGGAAAUAUAUUUUCUUA
This 586-nucleotide small RNA is filed under the name Pan troglodytes (chimpanzee). RNAcentral describes it as "processed transcript". The record is from RNAcentral. Lineage: Eukaryota; Metazoa; Chordata; Mammalia; Primates; Hominidae.